AUUGAACGCUGGCGGCAUGCCUUACACAUGCAAGUCGAACGGCAGCACGGGAGCAAUCCUGGUGGCGAGUGGCGAACGGGUGAGUAAAGUAUCGGAACGUGCCCAGUCGUGGGGGAUAACGUAGCGAAAGUUACGCUAAUACCGCAUACGAUCUAUGGAUGAAAGCGGGGGAUCGCAAGACCUCGCGCGAUUGGAGCGGCCGAGAUCAGAUUAGGUGGUUGGUGGGGUAAAGGCUCACCAAGCCGACGAUCUGUAGCUGGUCUGAGAGGACGACCAGCCACACUGGGACUGAGACACGGCCCAGACUCCUACGGGAGGCAGCAGUGGGGAAUUUUGGACAAUGGGCGAAAGCCUGAUCCAGCCAUGCCGCGUGCAGGAUGAAGGCCUUCGGGUUGUAAACUGCUUUUGUACGGAACGAAAAGGUUUGGCCUAAUAAGCUGAGCUCAUGACGGUACCGUAAGAAUAAGCACCGACUAACUACGUGCCAGCCGCCGCGGUAA
RNAcentral lists this ribosomal RNA (500 nucleotides) under uncultured bacterium. Its description in RNAcentral is "partial 16S ribosomal RNA". It matches the Rfam family "Bacterial small subunit ribosomal RNA", at positions 30 to 523 of the family's 1533-position model. The record is from RNAcentral.